Molecule: ribosomal RNA, 385 nt
Filed under: Yersinia ruckeri
Lineage: Bacteria; Pseudomonadati; Pseudomonadota; Gammaproteobacteria; Enterobacterales; Yersiniaceae
Description: bacterial SSU rRNA
Rfam family: Bacterial small subunit ribosomal RNA
Source: RNAcentral
UUUGCGGAAAGUAGCUUGCUACUUUGCCGGCGAGCGGCGGACGGGUGAGUAAUGUCUGGGGAUCUGCCUGAUGGAGGGGGAUAACUACUGGAAACGGUAGCUAAUACCGCAUAACCUCGCAAGAGCAAAGUGGGGGACCUUCGGGCCUCACGCCAUCGGAUGAACCCAGAUGGGAUUAGCUAGUAGGUGGGGUAAUGGCUCACCUAGGCGACGAUCCCUAGCUGGUCUGAGAGGAUGACCAGCCACACUGGAACUGAGACACGGUCCAGACUCCUACGGGAGGCAGCAGUGGGGAAUAUUGCACAAUGGGCGCAAGCCUGAUGCAGCCAUGCCGCGUGUGUGAAGAAGGCCUUCGGGUGUAAAGCACUCAUCCAAAAAAAACCAU